GUGACGAUAGCCUAGGAGAUACACCUGUACCCAUGCCGAACACAGAAGUUAAGCCCUAGAACGCCGGAAGUAGUUGGGGGUUGCC
RNAcentral lists this ribosomal RNA (85 nucleotides) under Streptococcus pneumoniae GA58581. The record is from RNAcentral. Lineage: Bacteria; Bacillati; Bacillota; Bacilli; Lactobacillales; Streptococcaceae.